This 255-nucleotide ribosomal RNA is filed under the name uncultured bacterium. Its description in RNAcentral is "partial 16S ribosomal RNA". It matches the Rfam family "Bacterial small subunit ribosomal RNA", at positions 524 to 776 of the family's 1533-position model. The record is from RNAcentral.
UACGUAGGGUGCAAGCGUUUGUCCGGAAUUAUUGGGCGUAAAGAGCUCGUAGGCGGUUUGUCGCGUCUGCCGUGAAAGUCCGGGGCUCAACUCCGGAUCUGCGGUGGGUACGGGCAGACUAGAGUGAUGUAGGGGGAGACUGGAAUUCCUGGUGUAGCGGUGAAAUGCGUAGAUAUCUGGAGGAACACCGGUGGCGAAGGCGGGUCUCUGGGCCGAUACUGACGCUGAGGAGCGAAAGCGUGGGGAGCGAACAGG